RNAcentral lists this long non-coding RNA (586 nucleotides) under Athene cunicularia (burrowing owl). RNAcentral describes it as "lncRNA (ENSACUG00000001179.1)". Lineage: Eukaryota; Metazoa; Chordata; Aves; Strigiformes; Strigidae. The record is from RNAcentral.
CAUAAAGCAGUAGUAUGUAUCUUCAUAUUUCUUAAUCUUCUGAAUUGCUGUUGACUUUUCUAAAUGGAAUUGUCUUGAAUUUCUUUCUUCAGCUGUUUCUUGAAUAGGCAAUAUUUUUGUUUUCCAGAAAAUGCUGUUAUAAAGUGUGCUUCUCUGAUCUUUCAGCUUUCUGGUUUUGAUGGUGUAAGGAAAUAAGAAAGCCACUUCUUCAAAAUACAGCCUCUGAGGCCAGAGACAAAUUUGACCUCUUCUCAAACAUUUCUCCUCUGCUCAGAGAGGUUGAUCCACAGGAACCGAUGCCAAAAGAAGGUGCUCAGGUUCCAGGGCCUGCUCCUGCAUGAGAAUAACUGGUGUUGGAACAGAAGAGCUGCUGCGCUCCAAGCAGCAGAGACAAUGUGAUCCUUCCCAAAACUAAUGUUGCUUGAAUAUCAGUAUGGAAAAAGGACAUUUGAAAUUAUGAAUCAGCCUUACAAAAAGACUGUCAACUUCAGGGGACCUAAAAAGUGUUGUUACAAAAGUCAUAUGAUCUACUUUUCAAAGGUGCUUUUUUCUGCGUGGAGGGUUAUUCAAGUCUUUAAGGGCUCUG